This 28-nucleotide transfer RNA is filed under the name Eriosema arachnoideum. RNAcentral describes it as "partial tRNA-Leu". Lineage: Eukaryota; Viridiplantae; Streptophyta; Magnoliopsida; Fabales; Fabaceae. The record is from RNAcentral.
UGAUUUCGAGUAGGCCGCUAUGGUGAAA